AGUGAACGCUGGCGGUAGGCCUAACACAUGCAAGUCGAACGGCAGCACAGUAAGAGCUUGCUCUUACGGGUGGCGAGUGGCGGACGGGUGAGGGAUACAUCGGAAUCUACUUUUUCGUGGGGGAUAACGUAGGGAAACUUACGCUAAUACCGCAUACGACCUACGGGUGAAAGCAGGGGAUCUUCGGACCUUGCGCGAUUGAAUGAGCCGAUGUCGGAUUAGCUAGUUGACGGGGUAAAGGCCCACCAAGGCGACGAUCCGUAGCUGGUCUGAGAGGAUGAUCAGCCACACUGGAACUGAGACACGGUCCAGACUCCUACGGGAGGCAGCAGUGGGGAAUAUUGGACAAUGGGCGCAAGCCUGAUCCAGCCAUACCGCGUGGGUGAAGAAGGCCUUCGGGUUGUAAAGCCCUUUUGUUGGGAAAGAAAAGCAGCAGGUUAAUACCCCGCUGUUCUGACGGUACCCAAAGAAUAAGCACCGGCUAACUUCGUG
Molecule: ribosomal RNA, 492 nt
Filed under: uncultured bacterium
Lineage: Bacteria
Description: partial 16S ribosomal RNA
Rfam family: Bacterial small subunit ribosomal RNA
Source: RNAcentral